Molecule: ribosomal RNA, 1269 nt
Filed under: Escherichia coli
Lineage: Bacteria; Pseudomonadati; Pseudomonadota; Gammaproteobacteria; Enterobacterales; Enterobacteriaceae
Description: partial 23S ribosomal RNA
Rfam family: Bacterial large subunit ribosomal RNA
Source: RNAcentral
GCCCAGAGCCUGAAUCAGUAUGUGUGUUAGUGGAAGCGUCUGGAAAGGCGCGCGAUACAGGGUGACAGCCCCGUACACAAAAAUGCACAUGCUGUGAGCUCGAUGAGUAGGGCGGGACACGUGGUAUCCUGUCUGAAUAUGGGGGGACCAUCCUCCAAGGCUAAAUACUCCUGACUGACCGAUAGUGAACCAGUACCGUGAGGGAAAGGCGAAAAGAACCCCGGCGAGGGGAGUGAAAAAGAACCUGAAACCGUGUACGUACAAGCAGUGGGAGCACGCUUAGGCGUGUGACUGCGUACCUUUUGUAUAAUGGGUCAGCGACUUAUAUUCUGUAGCAAGGUUAACCGAAUAGGGGAGCCGAAGGGAAACCGAGUCUUAACUGGGCGUUAAGUUGCAGGGUAUAGACCCGAAACCCGGUGAUCUAGCCAUGGGCAGGUUGAAGGUUGGGUAACACUAACUGGAGGACCGAACCGACUAAUGUUGAAAAAUUAGCGGAUGACUUGUGGCUGGGGGUGAAAGGCCAAUCAAACCGGGAGAUAGCUGGUUCUCCCCGAAAGCUAUUUAGGUAGCGCCUCGUGAAUUCAUCUCCGGGGGUAGAGCACUGUUUCGGCAAGGGGGUCAUCCCGACUUACCAACCCGAUGCAAACUGCGAAUACCGGAGAAUGUUAUCACGGGAGACACACGGCGGGUGCUAACGUCCGUCGUGAAGAGGGAAACAACCCAGACCGCCAGCUAAGGUCCCAAAGUCAUGGUUAAGUGGGAAACGAUGUGGGAAGGCCCAGACAGCCAGGAUGUUGGCUUAGAAGCAGCCAUCAUUUAAAGAAAGCGUAAUAGCUCACUGGUCGAGUCGGCCUGCGCGGAAGAUGUAACGGGGCUAAACCAUGCACCGAAGCUGCGGCAGCGACGCUGAUGCGUUGUUGGGUAGGGGAGCGUUCUGUAAGCCUGCGAAGGUGUGCUGUGAGGCAUGCUGGAGGUAUCAGAAGUGCGAAUGCUGACAUAAGUAACGAUAAAGCGGGUGAAAAGCCCGCUCGCCGGAAGACCAAGGGUUCCUGUCCAACGUUAAUCGGGGCAGGGUGAGUCGACCCCUAAGGCGAGGCCGAAAGGCGUAGUCGAUGGGAAACAGGUUAAUAUUCCUGUACUUGGUGUUACUGCGAAGGGGGGACGGAGAAGGCUAUGUUGGCCGGGCGACGGUUGUCCCGGUUUAAGCGUGUAGGCUGGUUUUCCAGGCAAAUCCGGAAAAUCAAGGCUGAGGCGUGAUGACGAGGCACU